AUUUAUAUAGUUUAAAAAAACAUUACAUUUUCAUUGUAAAAAUAAAAUUAUUUUAAUAUUUUUAUAAAUA
Molecule: transfer RNA, 70 nt
Filed under: Comparmustilia semiravida
Lineage: Eukaryota; Metazoa; Arthropoda; Insecta; Lepidoptera; Endromidae
Description: tRNA-Glu
Source: RNAcentral